This 209-nucleotide long non-coding RNA is filed under the name Hordeum vulgare. RNAcentral describes it as "long non-coding RNA (HVUL_LNC011966)". Lineage: Eukaryota; Viridiplantae; Streptophyta; Magnoliopsida; Poales; Poaceae. The record is from RNAcentral.
UUCUUCUUCUCCUUCUUCUUCUUCUUCUCCUUCUUCUCCUUCUUCUUCUCCUUCUUCUCCUUCUUCUUCUCCUCUUCCUUCUCCUUCUCCUCCUCCUCCUCCACCUCCUUUUUCUUCUUCUUCUCCUCUUCCUUCUCCUUCUCCUCCUCCUUCUUUUACUUCUUCUUCUCUUUCUCUUCUCCAAUAGUUAGCUAGGGUUCCACCUAAAU